Corticium candelabrum is the source of this 344-nucleotide long non-coding RNA. RefSeq lists it as uncharacterized. The record is from RefSeq and is a predicted model, not a curated record. The transcript has 3 exons. NCBI's taxonomy places the organism in Eukaryota, Metazoa, Porifera, Homoscleromorpha, Homosclerophorida, Plakinidae.
AUAAGUUUUACUUGCACGUGCACGCAUGAUGGCUUACGCUCGAUCAGAUCACGAUUUAGUAGUUCGAAAUGUGUUGUUAUGCUGACAGAUCGUGGGAAUUGCGCUUUCUCUGCGAGCAGUUACCACACUGAAAAUCGACUUUCUCGAGAAAAAUUGACUCCAGAAAAGCUUUACGUGAUGCAGUUAUUAUGCAAGGCGGCAGAGGAUGUGUGAAGAAUAUUGGAAGGUGGAUCAGGGAAUGACAUGUCAAAGUACUCUCUAGCAAAAUCUAGCGACUGCUGUGACAUUUUUACCAGAUAUUGAGAUUUAUAAUGUCUGUUUACCAGUUUACAAUGCUGUAUACG